GAGCCAGACUCCUACGGGAGGCAGCAGUGGGGAAUAUUGCACAAUGGGGGAAACCCUGAUGCAGCAACGCCGCGUGAGUGAAGAAGUCUUUCGGUAUGUAAAGCUCUAUCAGCAGGGAAGAAGAUGACGGUACCUGAAUAAGAAGCCCCGGCUAACUACGUGCCAGCAGCCGCGGUAAUACGUAGGGGGCAAGCGUUAUCCGGAUUUACUGGGUGUAAAGGGAGCGCAGACGGCAGUGCAAGUCUGGAGUGAAAGCCCGGGGCCCAACCCCGGAACUGCUCUGGAAACUGUGCGGCUAGAGUACUGGAGGGGCAGGCGGAAUUCCUGGUGUAGCGGUGAAAUGCGUAGAUAUUAGGAGGAACACCAGUGGCGAAGGCGGCUUACUGGACAGUAACUGACGUUGAGGCUCGAAAGCGUGGGGAGCAAACAGGAUUAGAUACCCCCGUAUU
This 449-nucleotide ribosomal RNA is filed under the name uncultured bacterium. Its description in RNAcentral is "bacterial SSU rRNA". It matches the Rfam family "Bacterial small subunit ribosomal RNA", at positions 328 to 794 of the family's 1533-position model. The record is from RNAcentral.